GACGUAGGCGGCCUGUCAAGCGCCUUGUGAAAUCCCUCGGCUCAACCGAGGAAUUGCCGGGCGAACUGGCAGGCUUGAGACGGGUAUAGGUGCGUGGAACUCUUGGUGGAGCGGUGAAAUGCGUAGAUAUCAAGAGGAACGCCAGAGGCGAAAGCGACGCACUGGACCCGAGCUGACGCUGAGGUGCGAAAGCUAGGGUAGCGAACAGGAUUAGAUACCCUGGUAGUCC
This 229-nucleotide ribosomal RNA is filed under the name uncultured bacterium. RNAcentral describes it as "partial 16S ribosomal RNA". It matches the Rfam family "Bacterial small subunit ribosomal RNA", at positions 568 to 796 of the family's 1533-position model. The record is from RNAcentral.